GGAGUUCGGUCCGUGUCUCAGUACCGAUGUGUGGGAUCUUCCUUUUAGAACCCAUAGGCAUCAUCGUCUUGGUGGGCCGUUACCCCGCCAACUAACUAAUGCCACGCAUGCCCAUCUGUAACCUAUGAAUAUUUAACUUUAUACCCAUGCAGUUAUAAAGUACUAUCGGGUUUUAAUCAUCCUUUCGGUUGGCUAUCCCCGUGUUACAGGUAGGUUGCAUACGCGUUACUCACCCGUCCGCCGCUCGCCACCAAUGUAUUGCUACACCGUGCUGCCGCUCGACUUGCAUGUGUUAGGCCUGCCGCUAGCGUUUAUC
RNAcentral lists this ribosomal RNA (316 nucleotides) under uncultured Bacteroidales bacterium. RNAcentral describes it as "partial 16S ribosomal RNA". The record is from RNAcentral. Lineage: Bacteria; Pseudomonadati; Bacteroidota; Bacteroidia; Bacteroidales.